RNAcentral lists this ribosomal RNA (464 nucleotides) under Clostridium haemolyticum. Its description in RNAcentral is "bacterial LSU rRNA". It matches the Rfam family "Bacterial large subunit ribosomal RNA", at positions 863 to 1326 of the family's 2925-position model. Lineage: Bacteria; Bacillati; Bacillota; Clostridia; Eubacteriales; Clostridiaceae. The record is from RNAcentral.
AAUAGCUUUAGGGCUAGCGUCGGGUAAUUGAGUAGUGGAGGUAGAGCACUGAAUGGGCUAGGGGCUGACAACAGUUACUGAACCCUAUCAAACUCCGAAUGCCAUAUACUUGUACCCCGGCAGUCAGACUACGAAUGAUAAGAUCCGUGGUCAAAAGGGAAACAGCCCAGACCAUCAGCUAAGGUCCCAAAGUGUAAGUUAAGUGGGAAAGGAUGUGGGAUUUCUAAGACAACUAGGAUGUUGGCUUAGAAGCAGCCACUCAUUUAAAGAGUGCGUAAUAGCUCACUAGUCGAGAGAUCCUGCGCCGAAGAUGUAACGGGGCUCAAACUUACCACCGAAGCUAUGGAUGUGUACUUUGUACACGUGGUAGAGGAGCUUUCUGUACAGGUUGAAGUCAUACCGUAAGGAGUGGUGGACAGUACAGAAGUGAGAAUGCUGGCAUAAGUAGCGAAAAACAAGUGAGA